This is a long non-coding RNA of Acinonyx jubatus (cheetah), 7002 nucleotides long. RefSeq lists it as uncharacterized. Lineage: Eukaryota; Metazoa; Chordata; Mammalia; Carnivora; Felidae. The record is from RefSeq and is a predicted model, not a curated record. The transcript has 2 exons.
AUCUGAGGGGAGGCAGAAAACCAGACAUUCAGGCAAUUCUAACAAAGGGCAGCGAGUUUUGUUGACUGAACAAGGCAGUGUGGUCCAUAAUGAGGAUGAAGGUAGCAUAAGCAAUGGUCCUUCACCUUCUGAAACUUAAAUCAAGCUGGGUCGACAAGAUAUUCACAGAGAGAAAAAAAUAUAUGAGACAGAACAUGCCGAGCGCCAGAUGAGUGAGAGAGACAACCAUAUCUGUUAACAGCUUGGAAGGAGAGGGCCCUAUUGACUGAAAUCAUGUAAAAAGGCUUUUCAGAGGUGUUAGAACUUGAACUGGGCCUUGAAAUGGCAUAGCAGAAUUAGUAGCAGCAGUAGUUGUCAAAAUAAUAAUAGUUAUGGGAAAAUGCCUACUUAUGUGUCUCAGCCCUGGCUUGGUAAUCUAUAUAUACUACUAGACUAUUGCUGCAAGUAACUAUGAAUUCAGUAUUAAUCCUGCUUUAUAGGGUAUAAAAAGGAGGUCACUGUGUCACAUGGUGAGGUGAUAGAGCUGCAAUUUCCCUCUGGUCUGCAUUGUUGCCUGCCUUGGGCCCUGGAAAAAGACGAGCCCUGUUCAGUUUCUGGCCAAGGUAAAAAAUACACAGAAUUUUUGAACCAGGAAUUCAUCCCAGUGAAUUUGUCCCAAAUAAAUGGACAAAGAUGCUCAUUUCGCCCCUGUUUGUAAUCAUAAAUGAUUAGGAAAACUCAAAGUGGGCAUGCAGUUGGCAGAGAAGGCUUUGAAGCCUUGGCCGAGGAACAGACUGCUUUUAAUCUAACCCUUUUUUUUGUUGUUGUUGAGAAGUUGUUCCAUUUCAGUCAAGUACCCCUUCAAGAGAACAGAGUGUGAGAACAAAAACACUCACUCUGCCCUUUCCCUAUCCAGGACUUCUCUCACUUUUCCCAGCAAAAAUAAAAACUUAGAACAAGCCCCCCCCCCCCAAAAAAAGUAUAUUUAAUCCUGAGAAUUAACCUCUCCUCUUUCCUGCCCCUAAAUAAAAUACAUAGUUUAGACCUUGAGUAGACACUCCACCUACACUUUUUUCACGGUAUGAAGGAAGUAUUACUCAUUGAUUUUCUCUCUGCACCAGAGGUUUUUCAGAACCAGUAGUCCCUCCGGAAAGAGAGACACUGCCUCACUGUCCUGGACAACAGAGCCCUAGCAACUAAAAUCAGUCAUGCUAGGGGAAAGGUCUGAGCUCCUUGGACCAAGCACCAGGAUCUAGAUGGCUCUGCCUUGUAUGAUAUUUUGCUCUCAGAAACAAGGAAGAGGCUGUUCUAAGGCCCAGGCCCAAGGGAAGUGGAGUUCAUGAACUACAUGGUUCAUUUUGACACUAAUCAUGUACUCACAGGCCUGUAGGGCCCUCAGAGAUCCUUCCAGGCUAGGGCUCCUCAACCUUUGUUGGGGAACUGGCCCCUUGAGAAUCUGAUGAAAUCAUACAACUUCAGAUCCCCUGGACCCCAUCAUGGACCCUUGGGGGCAGGGGGUCCCAAUGGGAAAGGCACCAUUCUGAAGAGUCUCAGCACAUGGGUGUAAUCAUGCCUUCUCGUUUAUGUAUGGAAACAAAUAUAUAUUCUAAAUUAACUUCCUUUUAUUUCUCCCAGUGGGAGAUUAUAUUGCUUUUUAAAUCAUGUGUUUAGAUGGGUUAUAUUAUCCAUGAAUUUCAUUUGAGAAUAGAAAAGGGGAUGUUAGACACUCUAUGUUAUAAAAGGGAGGUGGUUUGGUCUUUUAAGAUUCACAGUCACAUCUAUGGGGAGUCCACAAACCCCAGAUUAAGACCUCCUGCUCUAGGGGAGCCUGGCUGGCUCAGUUGGUAGAGCAUGUGACUCUUAAUCUCAGGGAUGUGAGUUCAAGCCCCACGUUGGGCAUGGAACCUACUUAAAAAAUUAAAUUAAAAAAAAAAAAAAGACCUCCUGCUCUAGCCCACUCCCCUCAUUUUAAGAAGGAAAGCAAAAGCUGGGGCGCCUGGGUGGCUUAGUUAAGCAGCCAACUCUUGACUUUGGCACAGGUCAUGAUCUCACAGUUCGUGGGAUCGAGCCCCACAUGGGGCUCUGUGCUGACACUGCAGAGCCUGCCUGGGAUUCUCUCUCUCCCUCUCUCUGCUCCACCCCUGCUCAUCCUCUCAAAAUAAACAAAUAAACUUAGAAGGAGGAGGAGGGGGAGGGGGAGGGGGAAGAGGAGGAAAGCAAAAACUACUUAGAGACACCUGCCCAAAACACUUGGAGAGUUGGUGGCACAGGGGGACUCAGAAACCAAGCCUCCUGGAGCCUGGCUAGACUCUCUUCUCCCCAAGACUCUCUUCUCCCAACACUGCCUGGAAGUACUGCUGAACCUUCAUCUAGUCUUUUAGGUCUUCUAGACCAUGUUAAGUACUCCUGGCAGACAAAGUCUAUAUCUUUUCUUCUGAAUCUUCUUUCCAAGUAUUCUAAACUCAGGCCCUCAGGAAAUUUUAGUUGAGAAAAAAAAUAAGUGAAAUCAAUUCAGACUUUGUUUCUCCUUCUCAGCCAUUAAGUACACUUGGGCAAGGACCCGUGUGGCCUGGGGAGGAUUAAUGUGUUCUUACCACUGGAGGCUGGCACAGAGUUUUAAUUUCUCCACUGAGCGAUUAUGUUCCACUUUGCAGGGGGUCACCUGGCUCUCCAAGGGCACUGCCCUCCCACAGGUGGAGAUAAAUGAAGCUCAGAGGGAUCAAGACUGGGCUUUUCAGCAUCACUCACCCGGGGAUCCCUGCACCCACCCAGGCAAGUUCUGCCUCUCUGAUGUCUGGGGAGAGGAACAUCCCCAAGAAAUGUCUGAUGACAGUCAUAGAUCCAGUUAGUCUUGAACCAGAUAGCAAAUAUUCUGAACCUUGUGAUCACCUAGCACCAUGACUCAUCUCUACCUGGGAGUAUUUGGUCAGAGUCCCACCCUGCUGCUAACCAGGAGGGUCACCUGGUCAUUGUACCUGUCCAAGCCUAGGUUUCCUUAUCUAUGCCAGGAGAGGGUUGAUCUGAUGGAGCCCUAUGUCUAGUUCUAACAGUCUGAGAGCAUAAACCCAUGGAGAAAGAGGGACCUCACAGGCAGACAGCUAGGGCAGGGGCUCUAAGCCAAGACUUACAGAUGCCAGGAUCACUGCAGGUGAGGGUCCCAUCCUCAGGGACCAGGUGGGCAUUGUACCUCUGGUUGGAAAGCACCUCCGUCAUCUCCCCUGCCCGCUGCCGCUCCCCCAUUUUGGUCUUCAGGAAAAUCCCAAAACCGAUGUCUGAACCAUCUGACAUGAACUGCCACCUGCAGGAGACAUCCACCCAUUGAGACGCGAUUCCGUCCAUGUGUGCACUCUCUGGGGUCCUGCCUUCAGGGCUUCUCCCAGCCCAGCCCACCCACUGGCUCAAAGGCACAGGCUGCCUCGUAGGGUCCAGAGCACUACCUGAGGACACAGCCAGGGAAGAGGAUCUCAUACUCCACUUGGUGGGAGGAGCCACGAGAAAUCUGCACACUGUGCUCAUACUGCUGUUUCACUUGAUCUCGCACAUAAUACUUCUUCGGAAUGUCACCCCCGUAGUUAAUCUAGAAGCAGAACACAGAAUGAACUGGAAUGGGCAUUUGAGCCAGGCUUCCCGGGUGAUCCCCUAGCCCUAUGGGCUACGCGGCGGGGGGCAUGCAGUCCCCUACCUUGGAUUUGCACUUGGGGUCUCCAUUAGAAUCAGUCAUGGUACCCCCAUACUCCAUAGGCAGCUGGUCAGGGCUGAUAUAUUUCAGUAAAACCUCCUUCCAGUUUGCUGGGCAGUAGAGGGAAGGAAGGAGAAAAAAAGGGUCACCACUAGGCAAGAUUUCCUCACGGCCCUGGUGGUCAACACAAAAGAGGCAGGAAAAACCCUGUCUGCCCCAGGACGCAAAACACAGGCAUUAGGAGUACACAGUAUACACACAGAUCUGCAGGGGAUUCAGGAGGAACCAUCACCCAGAGGAUUGCCCUGCCCUGAACUAAGAAUCAGAACACCUUGAGUCGUGUCUCCCCUGCCUCUGGCCAGUUGAACAACCUUGGGCAUUGCUUCACUCUGAGCCUGAUUCCUCCCACCUUGCAAGGCUUCAGUGGGGGGUGAAGUGAACUAAGUACUUGAGAAGAUGCCAUAAACUGUUAAGUGCCUUACGCACAUCAGAAUAUAUUAUCACUCCUUGGAAGAUGAUACAAAUACCUGCAGUGCAGGCAGAGGGAACAAAGAAAGGGAAGGGCAUCCCACGUAGAGGGAACAGCAUAUGCAUCAAGCAGGAGGGCCUGAAUCAACAUAAUCUGUCCUGGGUAGACUGAAUUCCAGGAGGGCACAACCCUGUGUCUCAUCCCCUACUUUCAUCUAUACGAAUCAUGCUCAGUCGUGAGUUACUGAAUGCACCACUGUAGCGUGGCCCUUGAAAUGGGUUCCCUUGGCUUUACCCCAGCCACAACUUUACUUCUGCUGUUUUUCAGGCUGUCUAAGCUGCCAGUGACUCGCCCCCCCCCCCUUUUUUUUGUAAAUAACCAAGCCCUUUCCUGACUCGGAGAGUUUGAUUCUAGUGCAACCAAUGCUGAGAACCAAAUUCCUAACCUAUUAUCAGCCAAGUACAAUAUUUUGAUGCUGGAAACCUUUCCAUGCUGACUAUAUAGACCAUAAAUAGGCAGCAGCUCCAAGUCAUGGGGUACAACCCAGUAUCCUCUGUUGUUGGUACUGGCUGGAAGCCCACAGAGACUGUCCAGAGUCUCCCAACCCUCUGAUUUCUAGGGUCCCGGGACCAUGCAACUCCUGCGACACAGCGUCUGUGGUUUGGGGAGUGAUUUAAUCUGUGCUUCUAAGCCUCACUGACCAACCCAAAAUGAACGUCUUCCCUCCUCUGCUGAAGAUCCUGUAUCUUCCGAGACUGAGAUGGGUUUGGUUGAAAGGGUUUCAGGUGUGGGUGGGAGAACAGACGGCACCUUCUCUACAGCUCUGCUGCCAGGAAACCCAACCACCACAUGCUCAUGGUGGGUGGUAGCAGCAGAAAAGCCAAGAAUCAUCAGAGCCUUUUGCUCAGAUUUUGUAUGUCUUCCCCCAGCUCAGCUGGAGAGUUGGAAUAAGGCCAAAAAGAACUUCCCAUCUUACAGAGAGAGUAACUGAGGCAACAAGAAGCAGAACUUGUUGCUGUCAGAGUCAGGACCAAAUCCCAGAAGUCCUGUACUUUCUAGAAUGCUCCACGCUGCUCCCGGGGCUCAUUAAUACGCACUGGGAAGAUUUCCACUUUCAAUGUGUUGCCUAAUGGUGAACAUUCAGAAACUUUCAGAAUCUGUAUUGCCUACCCCUAAGUUCAACUCCACGGGUGGCAUCGAGUCUGCCAGGAGCCAGUCCCAAUCUACCUCUGUGGUCUUUUCUUCCCACCAACUUCACCUAAUGUUGUGGUAAAACUCAGCUCCUCUCUGUCCGUGGCUGGCUUGAUUCCUAUGCGUCUCUUGCUCUAGCUUCCCUCUUGUGCCCUGAUGUUCUCCCAGCUCCCCAGCACAUCCAAUCCCUGCCGGGUGUGGUCCUGCCAACCUCAUCAAUCACUCUUCAUUCUCCCUGGUGGGCUCCUCUGGCUCUGCCUGCCCUUGAGCUUGGACAGUCCCCAGGACUGAGCCUCCACUCUUCUGUGGGCAUCCUUUAUCUACUCACAAGGUUUUAGUUGCUGCCUGUAUUUGAUAACUCCCGAAUUUCCAAACUGGAGUUCUCUCCUCAGCUUCAGGCUCAAGUAACCCCAACAUCUGUGUAUCUCAGAGAUUCCCCAAACUCAACAUCAAGCUUAUUCUUCCAGUUGUGUUCUCUAGCUGAACGAAUUGUACCAGAAUGAUUGUGAUAUUCAGUCAUUCAUGCCAGACACCAGAAAGUCAUUUCUAGAUUUCUCUUCCUUCCUCUAUCCAGUCGACUGAGUUCUGCUGUUUCACUUCCUAAGUAAGUCUCUAGUCCAUCCUCUUCUCUCCAUCCCUACUGCCACCUCCCCAGCUCAGGUUUGCAACACCUCUUGCAUGGACUGUGGCCACACUGCAAAUUGGUACCUGUGCUUUGCAAGCUUGCCAGUAAAAUGUGUCUCCAUUUGAAAUCUGAUCCUGGUUGGGGUGCCUGGUGGUGCAGUCGGUUAAGCAUCUGACUCUUGAUCUCAGCUCUGGUCACGAUUUCACAUUAUGUGAGUUUGAGCCCUAUGUCGGGCUCUGCGCUGAUAGCAUGGAACCUGCUUGGGAUUCUGUCUCUCCUUCCCUCUGCCCCUCCCCAGCUUGUGCUCUCUCUCACUCUCUAUCAAAAUAAAUAAACUUAAAACAUUAAAAAAUAAAGUAAAAAUCUGAUCCUGGUUAAGAAGAUGGGGUACACAUAUACAAUUCUACUUUGAAUACUACUACAUUGAAUACUACUCAAUGAUGAAAAAGAAUGAAAUCUUGCCAUUUGCAACAACGUGGAUGGAACUGGAGGCUAUUAUGCUAAGCAAAAUAAGUCAGAGAAAGAAAUAUAUUAUUUGACUCAUAUGUGGAAUUUGAGAAACUUAACAGAUGAUCAUAGGGGAAGGGUAUGAAAAAUAAGAUAAAAACAGAGAGGGAGGCAAACCAUAAGAGACUCUUAAAUACAGAGAACAAACUAAGGGUUGAUGGGGGUGGAGGGGUGGGGGAAAAUGGGUGAGGGGCAUUAAGGAGGGCACUUGUUGGGAUGAGCACUGGGUGUUAUGUGUAAGUGAUGAAUCACUGGAAUCUACUCCUGAAGCCAAGACCACUGUAUGUUAGCUAACUUGAGCAUAAAUUUUAAAAAAUAAUAAGGGGUGGCACCUGGGUGGCUCAGUCAGUUAGGCGUCCAACUUCAGCCCGGGUCACGAUCUCACGGCUCGUGAAUUCGGGCCCCACAUCAGGCUCUGUGCUGACAGCUCAGAACCUGGAGCCUGCCUCAGAUUCUGUGUCUCCAUCUCUCUCUGCCCCUCCCCCACUCACUCUGUGUCUCAAAAUAAAUACAUUAUAAAUAAAUAAAUAAAUAAAUAAAUAAAUAAAUAAA